AUUGAACGCUGGCGGCAGGCUUAACACAUACAAGUCGAACGAUGAGUCUCUAGCUUGCUAGAGAUGAUUAGUGGCGGACGGGUGAGUAACAUUUAGGAAUCUACCUAGUAGUGGGGGAUAGCUCGGGGAAACUCGAAUUAAUACCGCAUACGACCUACGGGUGAAAGGGGGCGCAAGCUCUUGCUAUUAGAUGAGCCUAAAUCAGAUUAGCUAGUUGGUGGGGUAAAGGCCCACCAAGGCGACGAUCUGUAACUGGUCUGAGAGGAUGAUCAGUCACACCGGAACUGAGACACGGUCCGGACUCCUACGGGAGGCAGCAGUGGGGAAUAUUGGACAAUGGGGGCAACCCUGAUCCAGCCAUGCCGCGUGUGUGAAGAAGGCCUUUUGGUUGUAAAGCACUUUAAGCAGGGAGGAGAGGCUAAUGGUUAAUACCCAUUAGAUUAGACGUUACCUGCAGAAUAAGCACCGGCUAACUCUGUG
This 480-nucleotide ribosomal RNA is filed under the name uncultured bacterium. Its description in RNAcentral is "partial 16S ribosomal RNA". It matches the Rfam family "Bacterial small subunit ribosomal RNA", at positions 30 to 507 of the family's 1533-position model. The record is from RNAcentral.